UAGGGCUAGCCUCAAGUGAUGAUUAUUGGAGGUAGAGCACUGUUUGGACGAGGGGCCCCUCUCGGGUUACCGAAUUCAGACAAACUCCGAAUGCCAAUUAAUUUAACUUGGGAGUCAGAACAUGGGUGAUAAGGUCCGUGUUCGAAAGGGAAACAGCCCAGACCACCAGCUAAGGUCCCAAAAUAUAUGUUAAGUGGAAAAGGAUGUGGCGUUGCCCAGACAACUAGGAUGUUGGCUUAGAAGCAGCCAUCAUUUAAAGAGUGCGUAAUAGCUCACUAGUCGAGUGACACUGCGCCGAAAAUGUACCGGGGCUAAACAUAUUACCGAAGCUGUGGAUUGUCCUUUGGACAAUGGUAGGAGAGCGUUCUAAGGGCGUCGAAGCAUGAUCGCAAGGACAUGUGGAGCGCUUAGAAGUGAGAAUGCCGGUGUGAGUAGCGAAAGACGGGUGAGAAUCCCGUCCACCGAUUGACUAAGGUUUCCAGAGGAAGGCUCGUCCGCUCUGGGUUAGUCGGGUCCUAAGCUGAGGCCGACAGGCGUAGGCGAUGGAUAACAGGUUGAUAUUCCUGUACCACCUAGUAUCGUUUUAAUCGAUGGGGGGACGCAGUAGGAUAGGCGAAGCGUGCUGUUGGAGUGCACGUCCAAGCAGUAAGGCUGAGUGUUAGGCCAAUACGGCAC
This 675-nucleotide ribosomal RNA is filed under the name Staphylococcus epidermidis. RNAcentral describes it as "bacterial LSU rRNA". It matches the Rfam family "Bacterial large subunit ribosomal RNA", at positions 871 to 1548 of the family's 2925-position model. The record is from RNAcentral. Lineage: Bacteria; Bacillati; Bacillota; Bacilli; Caryophanales; Staphylococcaceae.